Molecule: long non-coding RNA, 218 nt
Organism: Ostrea edulis (European flat oyster)
Lineage: Eukaryota; Metazoa; Mollusca; Bivalvia; Ostreida; Ostreidae
Exons: 3
Source: RefSeq, a predicted model, not a curated record
AUGAAUCAUUCAAUCACAGAUCCAACCCGGGACCAAUGCUCUGUAUUACUAGUCACGUGAUCUAAUCACUGAGCUACCCAGACCACAGAAAAGGUGAAGAUAACGAACAGUGACCAAUCUCAUAACUCCUAUAAAGAAUACAAAACCAAGAGUAGGGCGAACACUGAUCUAUGUACACAUCAGAGGUGAGACCAAUAUAUUAGGAGGAGUAAGCAUCC